Molecule: ribosomal RNA, 368 nt
Filed under: uncultured organism
Description: bacterial SSU rRNA
Rfam family: Bacterial small subunit ribosomal RNA
Source: RNAcentral
CGUAGGUGGCAAGCGUUGUCCGGAUUUAUUGGGUUUAAAGGGUGCGUAGGCGGUCUUAUAAGUCAGUGCUGAAAUAUCCCGGCUUAACCGGGAGGGUGGCAUUGAUACUGUAGGACUUGAGUAAAGUUGAGGUAGGCGGAAUUGACGGUGUAGCGGUGAAAUGCUUAGAUAUCGUCAAGAACACCGAUAGUGUAGACAGCUUACUAAGCUUUAACUGACGCUGAGGCACGAAAGUGUGGGGAUCAAACAGGAUUAGAUACCCUGGUAGUCCACACUGUAAACGUUGAUGACUCGCUGUUGGCGAUACACAGUCAGCGGCUGAGAGAGAUCGUUAAGUCAUCCACCUGGGGAGUACGCCGGCAACGGUG